ACAGGGAUUGCCCUAGUAACGGCGAGUGAAGCGGCAACAGCUCAAAUUUGAAAUCUGGCUCUUUUAGAGUCCGAGUUGUAAUUUGCAGAGGGCGCUUUGGCUUUGGCAGCGGUCCAAGUUCCUUGGAACAGGACGUCACAGAGGGUGAGAAUCCCGUACGUGGUCGCUGGCUAUUGCCGUGUAAAGCCCCUUCGACGAGUCGAGUUGUUUGGGAAUGCAGCUCUAAAUGGGAGGUACAUUUCUUCUAAAGCUAAAUAUUGGCCAGAGACCGAUAGCGCACAAGUAGAGUGAUCGAAAGAUGAAAAGCACUUUGGAAAGAGAGUCAAACAGCACGUGAAAUUGUUGAAAGGGAAGCGCUUGCAGCCAGACUUGCUUGCAGUUGCUCAUCCGGGCUUUUGCCCGGUGCACUCUUCUGCAGGCAGGCCAGCAUCAGUUUGGGCGGUAGGAUAAAGGUCUCUGUCACGUACCUCUCUUCGGGGAGGCCUUAUAGGGGAGACGACAUACUACCAGCCUGGACUGAGGUCCGCGCAUCUGCUAGGAUGCUGGCGUAAUGGCUGUAAGCGGCCCGUCUUGAAACACGGACCAAGGAGUCUAACAUCUAUGCGAGUGUUUGGGUGUCAAGCCCGAGCGCGUAAUGAAAGUGAACGGAGGUGGGAACCCGCAAGGGUGCACCAUCGACCGAUCCUGAUGUCUUCGGAAGGAUUUGAGUAAGAGCAUGGCUGUUGGGACCCGAAAGAUGGUGAACUAUGCUUGAAUAGGGUGAAGCCAGAGGAAACUCUGGUGGAGGCUCGCAGCGGUUCUGACGUGCAAAUCGAUCGUCAAAUUUGGGCAUAGGGGCGAAAGACUAAU
RNAcentral lists this ribosomal RNA (849 nucleotides) under Alternaria brassicicola. RNAcentral's name for it is "eukaryotic LSU rRNA". It matches the Rfam family "Eukaryotic large subunit ribosomal RNA", at positions 68 to 935 of the family's 3401-position model. The record is from RNAcentral. Lineage: Eukaryota; Fungi; Ascomycota; Dothideomycetes; Pleosporales; Pleosporaceae.